UACGUAGGUGACAAGCGUUAUCCGGAAUUACUGGGCGUAAAGCGCACGCAAGCGGUCUGACAAGUCUGGCGUGAAAUCCCCUGGCUUAACCAGGGGCGGUCGCUGGAAACGGUCAGGCUUGAGGCGAUGAGAGGGGUGCAGAAUUCCCGGUGUAGUGGUGGAAUGCGUAGAGAUCGGGAGGAAUACCAGUGGCGAAAGCGGCACCCUGGCGUCGUACUGACGCACAUGUGCGAAAGCGUGGGGAGCGAACGGG
This 253-nucleotide ribosomal RNA is filed under the name uncultured bacterium. Its description in RNAcentral is "partial 16S ribosomal RNA". It matches the Rfam family "Bacterial small subunit ribosomal RNA", at positions 524 to 776 of the family's 1533-position model. The record is from RNAcentral.